UAAGGAAUAUUGGUUAAUGUGCGAAAGCGCGAACCAGCAACGCCGCGUGCGCGAUGAAGGCCUUCGGGUUGUAAAGCGCUUUUUGAGGGGAUGAGGAAGGACAGUACCCUCAGAAUAAGUCUCGGCUAACUACGUGCCAGCAGCCGCGGUAAAACGUAGGAGACGAGUGUUAUUCGGAUUUACUGGGCGUAAAGCGCGUGCAGGCGGUUUGGUAAGUUGGAUGUGAAAGCUCCUGGCUUAACUGGGAGAGGUCGUUCAAUACUGCCAGACUUGAGGAUAUGAGAGGGAGGUGGAAUUCCGAGUGUAGUGGUGAAAUGCGUAGAUAUUCGGAGGAACACCAGUGGCGAAAGCGUCCUCCUGGCAUAUUUCUGACGCUCAGACGCGAAAGCUAGGGUAGCAAACGGG
Molecule: ribosomal RNA, 405 nt
Filed under: uncultured bacterium
Lineage: Bacteria
Description: bacterial SSU rRNA
Rfam family: Bacterial small subunit ribosomal RNA
Source: RNAcentral